GACGAACGCUGGCGGCGUGCUUAACACAUGCAAGUCGAACGGAAAGGCCUCUUUCGGGGGGUACUCGAGUGGCGAACGGGUGAGUAACACGUGAGUAACCUGCCCUUGACUUUGGGAUAACUUCAGGAAACUGGGGCUAAUACCGGAUAGGAGCUCCUGCUGCAUGGUGGGGGUUGGAAAGUUUCGGCGGUUGGGGAUGGACUCGCGGCUUAUCAGCUUGUUGGCGGGGUAGUGGCUUACCAAGGCUUUGACGGGUAGCCGGCCUGAGAGGGUGACCGGCCACAUUGGGACUGAGAUACGGCCCAGACUCCUACGGGAGGCAGCAGUGGGGAAUAUUGCACAAUGGGUGGAAGCCUGAUGCAGCAACGCCGUGUGUGGGAUGACGGCCUUCGGGUUGGAAACCGCUUUCGCUCAUGACGAAGCUUUGUGUGACGGUAGUGGGUAAAGAAGCACCGGCUAACUACGUG
This 467-nucleotide ribosomal RNA is filed under the name uncultured bacterium. RNAcentral describes it as "partial 16S ribosomal RNA". It matches the Rfam family "Bacterial small subunit ribosomal RNA", at positions 28 to 507 of the family's 1533-position model. The record is from RNAcentral.